This 497-nucleotide ribosomal RNA is filed under the name uncultured bacterium. Its description in RNAcentral is "partial 16S ribosomal RNA". It matches the Rfam family "Bacterial small subunit ribosomal RNA", at positions 28 to 507 of the family's 1533-position model. The record is from RNAcentral.
GACGAACGCUGGCGGCGUGCCUAAUACAUGCAAGUAGAACGCUGAAGAGAGGAGCUUACUCUUCUUGGAUGAGUUGCGAACGGGUGAGUAACGCGUAGGUAACCUGCCUUGUAGCGGGGGAUAACUAUUGGAAACGAUAGCUAAUACCGCAUAACAAUGGAUGACACAUGUCCUUUAUUUGAAAGGGGCAAUUGCUCCACUACAAGAUGGACCUGCGUUGUAUUAGCUAGUAGGUGAGGUAAUGGCUCACCUAGGCGACGAUACAUAGCCGACCUGAGAGGGUGAUCGGCCAAACUGGGACGGAGACACGGCCCAGACUCCUACGGGAGGCAGCAGUAGGGAAUCUUCGGCAAUGGGGGCAACCCUGACCGAGCAACGCCGCGUGAGUGAAGAAGGUUUUCGGAUCGUAAAGCUCUGUUGUAAGUCAAGAAAGGGUGUGAGAGUGGAAAGUUCACACUGUGACGGUAGCUUACCAGAAAGGGACGGCUAACUACGUG